CGUAGGUCGCUUCCUGCCUCUUCGGCCCGCCCACUUCUGGGUCGUUGUGUCUGCUGCUCACCUGAGCACAGAGCCGGCGUCUCCGCAGUCGGGGCGAUAUACCGGGGUCGUUGACUGCCGUCGAUCGGCGCAUAGGCUCAGCAGCUUCUAUGGACAUAAUGGCAGAGGAGAAGAGA
This is a long non-coding RNA of Larimichthys crocea (large yellow croaker), 176 nucleotides long. RefSeq lists it as uncharacterized. The record is from RefSeq and is a predicted model, not a curated record. The transcript has 3 exons. NCBI's taxonomy places the organism in Eukaryota, Metazoa, Chordata, Actinopteri, Sciaenidae.